GAUAUUAGGACUGCGGAUUUGUAGAUUACUGCGAUAUAGUAAAUUUUAGAAGGUUGAUUUUUCUCUAUAUUA
Molecule: transfer RNA, 72 nt
Filed under: Bipalium admarginatum
Lineage: Eukaryota; Metazoa; Platyhelminthes; Tricladida; Geoplanidae
Description: tRNA-Ile
Source: RNAcentral